This 433-nucleotide ribosomal RNA is filed under the name uncultured bacterium. RNAcentral's name for it is "partial 16S ribosomal RNA". It matches the Rfam family "Bacterial small subunit ribosomal RNA", at positions 29 to 507 of the family's 1533-position model. The record is from RNAcentral.
AACGAACGCUGGCGGCAUGCCUAACACAUGCAAGUCGAACGAGACCUUCGGGUCUAGUGGCGCACGGGUGCGUAACGCGUGGGAACCUGCCCUUAGGUUCGGAAUAACUCCCCGAAAGGGGUGCUAAUACCGGAUAAUGUCUUCGGACCAAAGAUUUAUCGCCUUUGGAUGGGCCCGCGUUGAAUUAGCUAGUUGGUAGGGUAGAAGCCUACCAAGUCGACGAUCCAUAGCUGGUCUGAGAGGAUGAUCAGCCACACUGGGACUGAGACACGGCCCAGACUCCUACGGGAGGCAGCAGUGGGGAAUAUUAGACAAUGGGCGAAAGCCUAAUCCAGCAAUGCCGCGUGAGUGAUGAAGGCCUUAGGGUUGUAAAGCUCUUUUACCCGGGAUGAUAAUGACAGUACCGGGAGAAUAAGCACCGGCUAACUCCGUG